Parus major (Great Tit) is the source of this 3335-nucleotide long non-coding RNA. RefSeq lists it as uncharacterized. The record is from RefSeq and is a predicted model, not a curated record. Lineage: Eukaryota; Metazoa; Chordata; Aves; Passeriformes; Paridae. The transcript is spliced from 2 exons.
UGAGAUAAACUCCUUGGAGUGUCAGUCCUGAUGUGCCCGGAGAGGAGACUCAGUAACUUGUGAGGAAACAGGUCUGUGCUUGUGGCACAGCAGCAGCACCCUGAGCCUUGCUCCAGCAGGAGGAGAGGUUCCAGUGCCCUCGAGGUGGCCCUUGUUCCAUUCACAGAGGUUUAUUGUUUCCUCCCUGGAAGUGAGUUCCAAGAUCUGCCCUUCUUGUGGCACAACCAGAUGGACGAGAGGUGUCAGGUUUCUUCAUAGGUGAGGUGAAAGAACCCCAAGUAAUUUCAGAGGACUCCUGGGGUGCCCCGGCUGGGCAGAACUCUGCUGACAAAGCUGCCCUGCUCUGGGACACCCUGGAGAGGUGGGGAUUUCAAGACUAACACAUGAAUUCCUGCAGAAAGAGAUGAGUAAUCCUACACAAGUCACAGCCUUGAGAGUGUUCUAUAUGAGCCUUUUCUUUCACAAGUGCAAUAGAAAUACCAGAAUAUCAGUUACUGCUAUGCUCAUUCACAUCCAGAAGCCAGGGAAGCGUUUUAUGUAAUGUUUUCUCCCCCAUACUUCUUUUUAACUUCUUCAUUUUAUUAAAUCUCCCCAGGAGGUGAGAAAAUCCACCCACCCACCCCCCAGUGCAGCUGAACAGCACAAAAAUCAUCAUUUGACCCUGUCACAUCAAAUGGUGACGUGAUUAUUUUGUUAUUUGGAGUAGAGAGGACAGAAGAGAAAGAGCAGCCUGAUUAUCUCCUAAUCCUGAACCAAUUUAAAGAGCGAUGAAAUAACUGCUGUGAGAUGGAGGUUAACAGCAAUCUAAACGACAUGGAGAAAAGUUAAUUAACUUCUCAGCAAAAUGUGACAAAGUAACAAAAAAAUCCCAACCCUUGGGUGCUGCAAAAUGGUGGCCUAGAGCAAAGAUAAAGCCCUUGAGGGUGCAAUUUCUCUGGGAUUUUAUACAAGUUUAAAACUAAGAGGGAAUUUUGAGAGCUGUGUUUCCCUUGGCAACCAUACAUCUGGUGCAAAUAUAUGGUCCCUCCUGCUUGGGAUGGUUCUUUGGGAAAAUCAUGGAGCUGAACUAAGCCUGGAAUGCCCAUUUCACUGGGGGUUGUUGGAGCCAGUGUCCCGAGCAAGCCGCUGGGUGUCAUUAACACUUCCCCUUGGAUUGCACCUGGGGAAUUUGCUGAGUUUAUGUGUGUGUGGCACUUCCAAGGCGAAACUGUGCUGUGGAAAUUAUUCUUUCACUACAAAUUGGCGGCUCUCUAGGGGAAAGGCUGCUGCUGCGACGAGGGGAAGCGCUGCUGCUAACCAGAGUGUCCACGGAAUUGACGCGGAACGGGUGAGAUUAAAACCAACAUUCACUCGCGGCUGGGCUGAGCAAAUCUUUGUGCUGCCAGUGAAAUAUGAACCGCAGAGGAGAGGUUGUGUAAAUGUUGCUUAAGAACUUUGUACCCGCUGUGGUACAAAGCUUCAACCUGCCAGGGCACCGGUGCUGCCCAAGGUCUGCCCACUGCUGUCAUUGUUUGUAAUAUUCCUGCUAUUCCUGCCAGUUCCCUUUCACCGAGUGCUUUAAUUAUUGUACACAGUACCAAGGCCUGGCCGUGUUUCCCCGUGGAAACAGCCUGACAGGCUGAAACUGGGACCACAAAGCCAGGAAAGCCAGGAUGGAUGAAAACAGGGAUUCUGAGGAUUGCCCUGCGUUUGCAGAACAAUCUGCUGAGGGCUUUGUGGGAGCUGCUGCUGCUGUGGCACACAGGGAUGAGCGCAACCAAACUGAAACUUAGCUGGAGUUUUAAAUGGUAUUUAAGCUGUUAACUAGAGCAUGGGAACAUCCCUUCUGAAACUGGCCAAGGACAGAAUAUUGUCCAGAAAGCACAGUCUGAAAAAAUGUUGUUGUUCCUUUUUUUUUUCUUUAAAUGUGAGUCUCUCAAAAUGUUUAUGCACUCAGGAAUGCUAUUUUGGCCACUGAAAGGCACCUAAAGGAAUGCAAACAAAACGCUGUGUGUCUGUGUAUAAAUAUAGAGAUAUAUUUCUGGGAUGUAGAUUUCAAAAUAUCAACUUGGAUAAAAAUCAACAAAGUCCAGAGAAACCCUGUACCUUAUCAUGCUUUGUAUAAAAUGUCUGGAUAAGGAUUUCAUUCACAGUGAUGAGAAAGAAAAGCUUGGUCUUAGAUUUUAUUGCCAGGUUUUUAUUUGUCAAAAUUCUUACAGUGGUAACUAAACUAAACAAAAAACUCUGCAAAUCCCAGCCCAUGUGAGCAGGUGUCAGGGGUAAGACCCAGGGGGCUUCAGCUGGAUUUAUUUCAGGCACAAACUGCCCUGCACUCUCAUUUUUGCCACAUGCACAGUUUAGUGCUACAGCAGGUGUCAGGACACCCGAGGGUGAAGUGGCUCGGAUUUAACUCAGUUGUGUUGAGUAAUCCUCGAGAUGCAAAAUACAAAACCACAGGGAAAAUGCUAAUUAAUAACACAGUUAGAAAAUAAAUGCUUACAAUGGGGUAAACUACCCUGUUUCUGCAGGAAAGCAGGAAAGACGAACAGAAUGUAACAGGCGGGUGUCCAGAAUAACAAAGCUGUGGUUUUAUUUGGGGUUUUAAACACGUGGUUUCUUCUCUGGGAGCUCUGGAUGGUUGGGAGUGGGUGAGUUCCUUCACGCACCACACUGGGUUUGUAGGGCAGUCAGUAAAACGAGGCUUUGGGGCGCUGCUGGUUUAAUUCCAGCCAUUAAUAAGCGGGAACCUGGCUGGAAAAUGCACCAGCCAGGUAUUUUCAUACAGUUUCCACAGCACUGUGGAGUGUUUAUUCAUUAAUAUUGAUGUGCUCCACAUCCGUGUGGAAGUUUUUCCGCAGUCUCCAGCCGUGCCAAAGGGCCGAAGGGCGCUGCAGGAGGCAGCCUGCAGACUUUGUCCCCCCCGUGCCUGCCGGCAGCCACCGUUCCUGCGGGCUGGAACUCCUUCCCAAAAUGUGCUCAGAGCACCUCUGUGUGUCUGCAAGGCCAGGGGCUGGGCUGGGACUGCUGGAGUUGUGGGCAGGAGCACAAGUUCCUGGGAACUACACUGGGGUGUGUGGAGAGACUCCAAACCCUGUGUGCGGGCUCUGCCAGGGCCAGGCUGUGCUGCUGCUGCUCUGGAUAAGGCUGUGGUACCUCCAGAACCUGCGUCUGUGCAGAACCACAUCCAGGCCUGGCAGUCUGGGGGGACGGCUGGAAGGCUCCUGACAGCCCCUGGCUGGCAGCCACCGCGUCACACACAGCCUGGGAAGUGCUUGGCAGUGCCAAGUGUUAUAAAUUUUUAUUAUGAUAUUGGCUCUCGCAGAUGAAUAUUACAUAUUAAAUACUUUUUAGCUAUG